AACCUCGCCUAGGUAAGCGGGGGAAAUAACCCGUUGAAAGACGGACUAAUACCGCAUAAUACUAAAUUACUGCAUGGUAAUUUAUUUAAACAUUUAUGGCUUACAGAUGGGCAUGCGCAUGAUUAGCUAGUUGGAGAGGUAACGGCUCCCCAAGGCAACGAUCAUUAGGGGUUCUGAGAGGAAGGUCCCCCCACACUGGUACUGAGACACGGACCAGACUCCUACGGGAGGCAGCAGUGAGGAAUAUUGGUCAAUGGACGAGAGUCUGAACCAGCCAAGUCGCGUGCAAGGAAGAAUUCGUCCUAUGGAUUAGUAAACUGUCUUUUGCGAAGGGGAAAUAAAGUGCAUCACGUGUGAUUGUUUUGUAUGUACUCUGCGAAUAAGGAUCGGCUAACUCCGUGCCAGCCGCCGC
This 412-nucleotide ribosomal RNA is filed under the name uncultured bacterium. RNAcentral describes it as "bacterial SSU rRNA". It matches the Rfam family "Bacterial small subunit ribosomal RNA", at positions 123 to 518 of the family's 1533-position model. The record is from RNAcentral.